Zootermopsis nevadensis is the source of this 60-nucleotide non-coding RNA. Lineage: Eukaryota; Metazoa; Arthropoda; Insecta; Blattodea; Termopsidae. The record is from Rfam.
GUGGUCUAGCGGUUAGAACGCUGGCCUUGUAAUCCUGGGGUCUCGGGUUCGAUUCCCGAC